Molecule: transfer RNA, 83 nt
Filed under: Candidatus Wolfebacteria bacterium RIFCSPHIGHO2_01_FULL_48_22
Lineage: Bacteria; Candidatus Wolfeibacteriota
Also listed under: 1 other name
Description: tRNA-Leu
Rfam family: tRNA
About the family: Transfer RNA (tRNA) molecules are approximately 80 nucleotides in length.
Source: RNAcentral
GCCCGGGUGGUGAAAUGGCAAACACGCAACACUCAAAAUGUUGUGAUCGCAAGGUCUUGUCGGUUCAAGUCCGACCCCGGGCA